This 253-nucleotide ribosomal RNA is filed under the name uncultured bacterium. RNAcentral's name for it is "partial 16S ribosomal RNA". It matches the Rfam family "Bacterial small subunit ribosomal RNA", at positions 524 to 776 of the family's 1533-position model. The record is from RNAcentral.
UACGUAGGGUGCAAGCGUUAAUCGGAAUUACUGGGCGUAAAGCGUGCGCAGGCGGCUUUGCAAGACAGAUGUGAAAUCCCCGAGCUCAACUCGGGAACUGCGUCCGAUACUGGCGGGCUUGAAUCCGGGAGAGGGAUGCGGAAUUCCAGGUGUAGCGGUGAAAUGCGUAGAUAUCUGGAGGAACACCGGUGGCGAAGGCGGCAUCCUGGACCGGCAUUGACGCUGAGGCGCGAAAGCUAGGGGAGCAAACGGG